Molecule: long non-coding RNA, 206 nt
Filed under: Elaeis guineensis (African oil palm)
Lineage: Eukaryota; Viridiplantae; Streptophyta; Magnoliopsida; Arecales; Arecaceae
Description: long non-coding RNA (EGUI_LNC005133)
Source: RNAcentral
CCUCUUCAGUCGAACUUGAUGGUACCCUAGAGAAUGUGGUCGAUUUGUACUCGAGCUCUUUGGAGGGCAGUAUAGAUUGGGCGCUAUUGUUUUUGAUCUUCACCAUGGCAGGUUGGCAAGACAGCUCCAAUGACAAUGCUUGGGGAGAGUUCUACGGUCCUUGGGAUGCUUCACUUCUCCCCGAGGUGACUGGAGAGGAAGUCGUU